This 254-nucleotide ribosomal RNA is filed under the name uncultured bacterium. RNAcentral's name for it is "partial 16S ribosomal RNA". It matches the Rfam family "Bacterial small subunit ribosomal RNA", at positions 526 to 779 of the family's 1533-position model. The record is from RNAcentral.
CGGAGGGUGCGAGCGUUAAUCGGAAUAACUGGGCGUAAAGGGCACGCAGGCGGUGACUUAAGUGAGGUGUGAAAGCCCCGGGCUUAACCUGGGAAUUGCAUUUCAUACUGGGUCGCUAGAGUACUUUAGGGAGGGGUAGAAUUCCACGUGUAGCGGUGAAAUGCGUAGAGAUGUGGAGGAAUACCGAAGGCGAAGGCAGCCCCUUGGGAAUGUACUGACGCUCAUGUGCGAAAGCGUGGGGAGCAAACAGGAUU